This 409-nucleotide ribosomal RNA is filed under the name uncultured bacterium. RNAcentral's name for it is "bacterial SSU rRNA". It matches the Rfam family "Bacterial small subunit ribosomal RNA", at positions 509 to 918 of the family's 1533-position model. The record is from RNAcentral.
CAGCAGCCGCGGUAAUACGUAGGGUGCAAGCGUUAAUCGGAAUUACUGGGCGUAAAGCGUGCACAGGCGGUUAUGCAAGACAGAUGUGAAAUCCCCGGGCUCAACCUGGGAACUGCAUUUGUGACUGCAUGGCUGGAGUGCGGCAGAGGGGGAUGGAAUUCCGCGUGUAGCAGUGAAAUGCGUAGAUAUGCGGAGGAGCACCGAUGGCGAAGGCAAUCCCCUGGGCCUGCACUGACGCUCAUGCACGAAAGCGUGGGGAGCAAACAGGAUUAGAUACCCUGGUAGUCCACGCCCUAAACGAUGUCAACUGGUUGUUGGGAGGGUUUCUUCUCAGUAACGUAGCUAACGCGUGAAGUUGACCGCCUGGGGAGUACGGCCGCAAGGUUGAAACUCAAAUGAAUUGACGGCA